GACGAACGCUGGCGGCGUGCUUAACACAUGCAAGUCGAACGGAAAGGCCCUGCUUGCCGGGUACUCGAGUGGCGAACGGGUGAGUAACACGUGGGUGAUCUGCCCUGCACUUCGGGAUAAGCCUGGGAAACUGGGUCUAAUACCGGAUAGGAGCCAUUUUUAUUGUGAUGGUUGGAAAGUUUUUUCGGUGUAGGAUGAGCUCGCGGCCUAUCAGCUUGUUGGUGGGGUAAUGGCCUACCAAGGCGGCGACGGGUAGCCGGCCUGAGAGGGUGGACGGCCACAAUGGGACUGAGAUACGGCCCAGACUCCUACGGGAGGCAGCAGUGGGGAAUAUUGCACAAUGGGCGCAAGCCUGAUGCAGCGACGCCGCGUGGGGGAUGACGGCCUUCGGGUUGUAAACGCCUUUCGCUAGGGACGAAGCUUUUUGUGACGGUACCUAGAGAAGAAGCACCGGCUAACUACGUG
Molecule: ribosomal RNA, 465 nt
Filed under: uncultured bacterium
Lineage: Bacteria
Description: partial 16S ribosomal RNA
Rfam family: Bacterial small subunit ribosomal RNA
Source: RNAcentral